RNAcentral lists this long non-coding RNA (971 nucleotides) under Homo sapiens (human). RNAcentral's name for it is "non-protein coding lnc-CIDEA-2:4". Lineage: Eukaryota; Metazoa; Chordata; Mammalia; Primates; Hominidae. The record is from RNAcentral.
GGAGAACAGCCCCUGUUCCUCUUCCCUAGCCAGGUUCUCACACGUCCCUGAGGAACUAGAGAGGAACGCCUCUGGGAAGCCCAGCCAGAGCCAACCGGAAGGGCCUUUUGGUGAAGUCUGACAUCCUACAUUAGUUUCUCUGGACCUGGCAGAGCUCCCUGGAUAAAUCAUGAACAGAAGCAUCUAUGACCGACAGUUGCUCUGUGUCCUUCUAGCCUCGCAGGAGUUUCCAGCUCAUGAGGGCAGAGGAGAUGAAGAGAGGCCGAUCGACGUGAGGGUUGUGCAGGCGGCCCCUCUGAGGUGUGACUCCAGUAAGUACUCUGGAAUUACUUGCUGAGAAAGAAAAGUCUGGAUGCCAAGAAAGGUGUGACAUCCUUGCUGGCUUCAAUGUGAAGAGCCACCCUGAUUCUGGGAUUCUGAUAGGAAUAAGGGUAGUGGACUUUUUUUUUAAGUUCUCCAAGCAAAAAUUAUGACCAAAUGUCUCCAUCUGAUGAAGCAGCUGCACUCCUAUGGGGGCGCUGGGCUGUGCGCUUGCCUGGUGUCUUAUGAGUCUGCAUCGUGUGAUAUGAUUGUGUGUGUUUUCGUAUAGGGGAGGCUGUGUGUUUUCUCAGGAGAGAUUUUCCAUUUACACAGCACAAUUGCCAGUCUCCACUUCUAAAAAGUAAAAUCCACCCCUGUUCUACUCUCUCCAUACAUGACUCAUUCACCCGUGCCAGAGCCACCUUUCAUUCCCCUCACUGCUCAGGUGGAGAAUCUGAAGGGCCAAUGGGAGUGGCCCCAGCUUUUGAGCUCCUGAAUGAAAAAGUCAAAACAUGAGCUCAGGUGUGUGGCCCAAUGCUGACAGUCACCUGCUGACAUGCACUUAUGCAUCAGUCACAGGGUGUUCAUCACCAUGCAGGAGUCCAGCAUUCAUGUACAAGCCCUAAAGCACUGAGCCUGAGAGAUCCCAGACUCUGCCCAUCACCAUAAAG